Molecule: long non-coding RNA, 767 nt
Organism: Salvelinus sp. IW2-2015
Lineage: Eukaryota; Metazoa; Chordata; Actinopteri; Salmoniformes; Salmonidae
Source: RefSeq, a predicted model, not a curated record
AUGUGUUGACCGAGCCCUGGUUCUGGACGACCGGGUCAACAAGUUUACGGUGCAGCUGGGGGACUUUCCAGGGGACAUGGCCAAGCUACUGGACAUCCUGGCCCGAGAGGACAUCAAGUUGUUGGAUGUUUGCCACCGUAGACACAAUGACAGAGGAGAUCUCUUCAAGGCCCUGGUGGAGUGUGUGGUGGAGACCAGAGAUAAGACACAGAGCACUCAGCUCCGCAGGACACUGUCUGAGCGCUAUCCCACACUACGCUGGCUGGACCGGUGAUCAACACUUGUCACGGCUCUCAUCACGGCUCUCACUCUGAACACGCACACACACGGACAAAGCAUGCACACGCAUGUAUGCACGUCACUUGCAGACACACACACACACAAUUAAACAGACAAUGAAACAGAAACAUUGUGAAUGUAUAUGCAAACUAACACAUAACAUGUGCACUGAACUUUUUUUUGCUGCAAAACCACCGAAUUGCAAUUGCUUUUGAGUGUCAGUGAGUAUAAUAAAGCCCUUUGAUUAGUAGAGAUUAUACAGGGAGAUAAAAUUAAAUACGGGAAUACAUGGCAUUUACUGCAUAUGCUGCUCUGAUUUAAAAACCAUCCUUUCACCCCAUACUUCUGUUAUUACGGUGCUCAGGGGGUACUUUUGGGCCAGUUUCCCAGACAAUGAUUAAGCCCAGCUGAUCCUAACAUAACAGUGGUAGUGACAAUUAAAGGCAUUAUGUUCUGGAAAUAAAAGUUGGUGAUGAUGACGCAUUCAA